RNAcentral lists this long non-coding RNA (1902 nucleotides) under Homo sapiens (human). Its description in RNAcentral is "HSALNT0128229". The record is from RNAcentral. Lineage: Eukaryota; Metazoa; Chordata; Mammalia; Primates; Hominidae.
GUUGUAUUUCCUAAUCAAUUGGGUCGAACUGAAUGUCAUGGUAAGAAAAAUUCCACAACAAAAUGUUUUUACUUAUUAAUAGAUUAUUGAUCUCCAUAUAUUAUCUGUGACAGGUGGGACCAGGCCUUAAUCAAUUUUGAUUGUUUUCAAAUAGCAGGAGAUGUUUUCUCAACUGUCAUAUACCUCACAUGUAGUACCUGCUUCUUUCAAGGGCAGAAUUAGUUUCACGUGCCAGGAUAUGAGCACAAUUUGUGAAGGUUAAAAAGGUGCUUACUUUGUAUCUCUAAAGGCAAGAGAUUUUUCCCCAAGAAGCAAACAAACAAAUUGCAUUUGUAAUUUAAUUUUUUAUAACAACUUGAGAUAAAAUCUACAUACCACACAGUUCAAACAUUCAAAGUAUACAAUUCAGUGGUUUUUAGUAUAUUCAGAGUUGUGCCACCAUUACCACAAUCAACUUUACAACGUUUACAUCACCCCAAAAAAGAAACCCCAUACUAAUUAGCAGUCACCCCUUUGUCCUCCCCAACCCUUCAGCCUAAGCAACCACUAAUCUGCCUUCUCUCUAUAUAUAUUCGCCUGUUCUGGACAUUUCAUAUAAAUGAAAUCAUAUAAUAUGUGGCCUUUCAUGUCUGGCAUUCUUCACUUGAUAUGUUUUCAAGGUUUUUCCAUGUUGUGGUGCAUAUCAGUACUUCAUCUCUUUUUUUAUUGCUGAAUAAUAUUCCUUGUAUGGAUAUGCCACGUUUUGUUUAUUCACUUGUUAGUUGAUAGAAAUUAGGGCUGUUUCAAUUUAGAUCUUAGGUCAACUUUGAGUUAAUUUUUAUAUGCAAUAUGAGGUAGGAGUCCAAUUUCAUUAUUUUGCAUGUGGAUAUCCAUGUUUCCAAGCAUCAUUUAAUGAAAAAGACUAUUUUGCCCCCAUUGAAUUGUCUUAGCACUAUUUUCAAAAGUCAGUUGAUGAUAAAUGUGAUCAAUAUUUCUGGACCCUCAAUUAUAUUGGUAUUUUACUCUUUCUGAUGCUGUCAAUUUUUUUCUUUUCUUUUUUGUUUUUUUUGAGUCAAGGUCUAACUCUGUCAUCCAGGCUGGAUUGCAGUGACCCAGUUAUAGCUCAUUGCAGCUUCGAACUUUGGGGCUCAAGCCAUCCUUACACCUCAGCCUCUGAGUAGCUGAGACGACAGAUGAGUGUCAUCACAUCCAGCUGUUUUUUGUUUGCUUGUUGUUUUUUGUUUGUUUGUUUUUGUAGAGAUGGGAUCUCACUGUUUCCCAGGCUGGUCUCCUGGCCUCUAGCAGUCUUUCUGCCUCAGACUCCCAAAGUGUUGGGAUUACAGGCACAAGCCACCAAGCUUGACCAUUGUUGAAAAUUAAAUUGUUUUCUUAACAUCAUUUUUGAUUUAUUCAUUGAUACUAUAUUGAAAGAUAACCAAUUUCUGCAUAUUUAAUCCUGUAUCCUGUAACUUUGCUGAAUUUAUUUAUUAAUAAAUCAUGCCUUUGGAUUUUCUAUAGUUUUCCCUUGGAUUACUAUGCACAAAACCACCAUAUCGUCUCCCAUCUCUAUUUAGUUAUACUUCUUCCUUUCCAACCUAGAUGACUUUUAUUUUAUUUUCUUGCCUAAUUGCCCUUUCUUGACUGUCCAGUACAAGUUGAAUAGAAAUGGCCAAAGCAGACAUCCUUGUCUUGUUUCUGAUCUCAGGGGGAAAUAAUCCAGUCCUUCACCAUUAAGUAUGAUGCUAACCAUGGGUUCUUCAUAGAUGCCCUUUAUCAGGUUGAGGAAGUUUCCUUCUAUUCCUAGUUUGUUGAGGGUUUUUUAUUUUUUAUUUUUUAUUGUGAAAGGGUGUUGAAUUUUGUUAAAUACUUUUCCUGUGCCUAAUGAAGUGAUCUUGUAAAUUGUAAUUUAAUCUUAUCUAUUCU